UAGCUUGCUAGAUUGAUGGCGAGUGGCGAACGGGUGAGUAAUACAUCGGAACGUGCCCUGUAGUGGGGGAUAACUAGUCGAAAGAUUAGCUAAUACCGCAUACGACCUGAGGGUGAAAGUGGGGGACCGCAAGGCCUCAUGCUAUAGGAGCGGCCGAUGUCUGAUUAGCCAGUUGGUGAGGUAAAGGCUCACCAAGGCGACGAUCAGUAGCUGGUCUGAGAGGACGAUCAGCCACACUGGGACUGAGACACGGCCCAGACUCCUACGGGAGGCAGCAGUGGGGAAUUUUGGACAAUGGGGGCAACCCUGAUCCAGCAAUGCCGCGUGUGUGAAGAAGGCCUUCGGGUUGUAAAGCACUUUUGUCCGGAAAGAAAUCGCACUUACUAAUAUUAGGUGUGGAUGACGGUACCGGAAGAAUAAGGACCGGCUAACUACGUGCCAGCAGCCGCGGUAAUACGUAGGGUACAAGCGUUAAUCGGAAUUACUGGGCGUAAAGCGUGCGCAGGCGGUUGUGCAAGACCGAUGUGAAAUCCCCGGGCUUAACCUGGGAAUUGCAUUGGUGACUGCACGGCUAGAGUGUGUCAGAGGGGGGUAGAAUUCCACGUGUAGCAGUGAAAUGCGUAGAGAUGUGGAGGAAUACCGAUGGCGAAGGCAGCCCCCUGGGAUAACACUGACGCUCAUGCACGAAAGCGUGGGGAGCAAACAGGAUUAGAUACCCUGGUAGUCCACGCCCUAAACGAUGUCAACUAGUUGUUGGGGAUUCAUUUCCUUAGUAACGUAGCUAACGCGUGAAGUUGACCGCCUGGGGAGUACGGUCGCAAGACUAAAACUCAAAGGAAUUGACGGGGACCCGCACAAGCGGUGGAUGAUGUGGAUUAAUUCGAUGCAACGCGAAAAACCUUACCUACCCUUGACAUGCCACUAACGAAGCAGAGAUGCAUUAGGUGCUCGAAAGAGAAAGUGGACACAGGUGCUGCAUGGCUGUCGUCAGCUCGUGUCGUGAGAUGUUGGGUUAAGUCCCGCAACGAGCGCAACCCUUGUCUCUAGUUGCUACGAAAGGGCACUCUAGAGAGACUGCCGGUGACAAACCGGAGGAAGGUGGGGAUGACGUCAAGUCCUCAUGGCCCUUAUGGGUAGGGCUUCACACGUCAUACAAUGGUGCAUACAGAGGGUUGCCAAGCCGCGAGGUGGAGCUAAUCCCAGAAAAUGCAUCGUAGUCCGGAUCGUAGUCUGCAAC
RNAcentral lists this ribosomal RNA (1237 nucleotides) under uncultured Ralstonia sp. RNAcentral describes it as "bacterial SSU rRNA". It matches the Rfam family "Bacterial small subunit ribosomal RNA", at positions 76 to 1311 of the family's 1533-position model. Lineage: Bacteria; Pseudomonadati; Pseudomonadota; Betaproteobacteria; Burkholderiales; Burkholderiaceae. The record is from RNAcentral.